This 253-nucleotide ribosomal RNA is filed under the name uncultured bacterium. Its description in RNAcentral is "partial 16S ribosomal RNA". It matches the Rfam family "Bacterial small subunit ribosomal RNA", at positions 524 to 776 of the family's 1533-position model. The record is from RNAcentral.
UACAGAGGGUGCAAGCGUUAAUCGGAAUUACUGGGCGUAAAGGGCGCGUAGGUGGGAAACUAAGUCGGAUGUGAAAUCCCCGGGCUUAACCUGGGAAUGGCAUACGAUACUGGUUAUCUAGAGUUGAGUAGAGGGAAGUGGAAUUUCCGGUGUAGCGGUGAAAUGCGUAGAUAUCGGAAGGAACACCAGUGGCGAAGGCGGCUUCCUGGAUUCAAACUGACACUGAGGCGCGAAAGCGUGGGUAGCAAACAGG